Long non-coding RNA from Uranotaenia lowii, 538 nucleotides. RefSeq lists it as uncharacterized. Lineage: Eukaryota; Metazoa; Arthropoda; Insecta; Diptera; Culicidae. The transcript has 3 exons. The record is from RefSeq and is a predicted model, not a curated record.
GAAAAUUUCGGCAUUUCAUCGCCGCCAUGUUGAAAGUAAUUGGUUCUGCAGCCGGGUGCGUUCUGCAUGGAAGAAAUAAAUUCAAGAUUUUCUUCCACUUAGUAGUGAACAUGAUCCGACGAACAUCCUCUGGUCCAAAAAGGAUACCGAAAUGUGGAAAGUUUGUCGGAACUGCAAAUGCAGGAUUUGCGAGCUUACUUAUAAGCCCGUUUAGUUGGACUGGAUUCCACCUAAUGUGACUCUGGAGCUGGCUUCGGGUUUUACGACUCAGCUGGAGCAACCGAAUAUACCCAUAGCUGGUAGUGAUGCAGCGGAAAAGUGAAAACAGCAGCUAGAAUAUCAAGUUCUUUUCCAUGAUCUGGAUGCCAGUUGCCAUUUAGGAAUCCUAAUCCGACGAACAUCCUUUGGUCCAGUAAGGAUGCCGAAAUCUGAGGAUCCUCAGAUAAUCGGGAGCUGAAUAUUAAUCAGACCAGGUGCUGCGCAAUUGUUCCACCAUGAUAUUUUGAUGGUACGCGGUAAUUUUCCGUACUAUCUGGGG